GACGAACGCUGGCGGCGUGCCUAAUACAUGCAAGUUGAGCGCUGAAGGUUGGUACUUGUACCAACUGGAUGAGCAGCGCACGGGUGAGUAACGCGUGGGGAAUCUGCCUUUGAGCGGGGGACAACAUUUGGAAACGAAUGCUAAUACCGCAUAAAAACUUUAAACACAAGUUUUAAGUUUGAAAGAUGCAAUUGCAUCACUCAAAGAUGAUCCCGCGUUGUAUUAGCUAGUUGGUGAGGUAAAGGCUCACCAAGGCGAUGAUACAUAGCCGACCUGAGAGGGUGAUCGGCCACAUUGGGACUGAGACACGGCCCAAACUCCUACGGGAGGCAGCAGUAGGGAAUCUUCGGCAAUGGACGAAAGUCUGACCGAGCAACGCCGCGGGAGUGAAGAAGGGUUUCGGAUCGUAAAACUCGGUUGGUAGAGAAGAACGUUGGUGAGAGUGGAAAGCUCAUCAAGUGACGGUAACUACCCAGAAAGGGACGGCUAACUACGUG
This 497-nucleotide ribosomal RNA is filed under the name uncultured bacterium. Its description in RNAcentral is "partial 16S ribosomal RNA". It matches the Rfam family "Bacterial small subunit ribosomal RNA", at positions 28 to 507 of the family's 1533-position model. The record is from RNAcentral.